AGCGAACGCUGGCGGCAGGCCUAACACAUGCAAGUCGAACGAACCUUUCGGGGUUAGUGGCGGACGGGUGAGUAACACGUGGGAACGUGCCUUUAGGUUCGGAAUAACUCAGGGAAACUUGUGCUAAUACCGAAUGUGCCCUUCGGGGGAAAGAUUAAUCGCCUUUAGAGCGGCCCUCGUCUGAUUAGCUAGUUGGUUGAGGUAAUGGCUCACCACGGCGACGAUCAGUAGCUGGUCUGAGAGGAUGAUCAGCCACAUUGGGACUGAGACACGGCCCAAACUCCGACGGGAGGCAGCAGUGGGGAAUCUUGCGCAAUGGGCGAAAGCCUGACGCAGCCAUGCCGCGUGAAUGAUGAAGGUCUUAGGAUUGUAAAAUUCUUUCACCGGGGACGAUAAUGACGGUACCCGGAGAAGAAGCCCCGGCUAACUUCGUG
RNAcentral lists this ribosomal RNA (434 nucleotides) under uncultured bacterium. RNAcentral describes it as "partial 16S ribosomal RNA". It matches the Rfam family "Bacterial small subunit ribosomal RNA", at positions 29 to 507 of the family's 1533-position model. The record is from RNAcentral.